Molecule: long non-coding RNA, 423 nt
Organism: Micropterus salmoides (largemouth bass)
Lineage: Eukaryota; Metazoa; Chordata; Actinopteri; Centrarchiformes; Centrarchidae
Exons: 4
Source: RefSeq, a predicted model, not a curated record
AGAAAACCAAGGAAAAAGUAGAAUAACUGAUGAAAAGGAGAAAAAAACAGGACACUCACCGUCAGCUGGGCUGACACCACAACACAGAGUCCUGUUUGUGCAUUGAAGAGGAAAAGGCAAAAUUUGCUGUUCUUUGUCAUGGAUGAUUUUGUUCGGAACAAAUUAACUGAAUGGGGUCUCAGCGAGUUGAGAGAAAGAUUUGAAGAUGAAGGGAUUGACGAGGAAAGUCUUUACUGUCUUUGUGAUCAAGAAAUUAAUAACCUGAUCACAAAGUUGGGACCAAGGGCAAAAUUCAAGAAGAGACUCAAGUCCUUAAAGAAAGAAGAAAAUACAACAAAUCAAACAGUUGAUUCUUCUGCUCAAGUAAGUUAAAUACAGUUUCAUACAAUUAGGUAUCAUCUAAGGCAUUUAUUAAAAUCAUGC